RNAcentral lists this ribosomal RNA (1553 nucleotides) under Escherichia coli. Its description in RNAcentral is "bacterial SSU rRNA". It matches the Rfam family "Bacterial small subunit ribosomal RNA". RNAcentral also lists the same sequence under 1 other name. Lineage: Bacteria; Pseudomonadati; Pseudomonadota; Gammaproteobacteria; Enterobacterales; Enterobacteriaceae. The record is from RNAcentral.
AAAUUGAAGAGUUUGAUCAUGGCUCAGAUUGAACGCUGGCGGCAGGCCUAACACAUGCAAGUCGAACGGUAACAGGAAACAGCUUGCUGUUUCGCUGACGAGUGGCGGACGGGUGAGUAAUGUCUGGGAAACUGCCUGAUGGGGGGGAUAACUACUGGAAACGGUAGCUAAUACCGCAUAACGUCGCAAGACCAAAGAGGGGGACCUUCGGGCCUCUUGCCAUCGGAUGUGCCCAGAUGGGAUUAGCUUGUUGGUGGGGUAACGGCUCACCAAGGCGACGAUCCCUAGCUGGUCUGAGAGGAUGACCAGCCACACUGGAACUGAGACACGGUCCAGACUCCUACGGGAGGCAGCAGUGGGGAAUAUUGCACAAUGGGCGCAAGCCUGAUGCAGCCAUGCCGCGUGUAUGAAGAAGGCCUUCGGGUUGUAAAGUACUUUCAGCGGGGAGGAAGGGAGUAAAGUUAAUACCUUUACUCAUUGACGUUACCCGCAGAAGAAGCACCGGCUAACUCCGUGCCAGCAGCCGCGGUAAUACGGAGGGUGCAAGCGUUAAUCGGAAUUACUGGGCGUAAAGCGCACGCAGGCGGUUUGUUAAGUCAGAUGUGAAAUCCCCGGGCUCAACCUGGGAACUGCAUCUGAUACUGGCAAGCUUGAGUCUCGUAGAGGGGGGUAGAAUUCCAGGUGUAGCGGUGAAAUGCGUAGAGAUCUGGAGGAAUACCGGUGGCGAAGGCGGCCCCCUGGACGAAGACUGACGCUCAGGUGCGAAAGCGUGGGGAGCAAACAGGAUUAGAUACCCUGGUAGUCCACGCCGUAAACGAUGUCGACUUGGAGGUUGUGCCCUUGAGGCGUGGCUUCCGGAGCUAACGCGUUAAGUCGACCGCCUGGGGAGUACGGCCGCAAGGUUAAAACUCAAAUGAAUUGACGGGGGCCCGCACAAGCGGUGGAGCAUGUGGUUUAAUUCGAUGCAACGCGAAGAACCUUACCUGGUCUUGACAUCCACGGAAGUUUUCAGAGAUGAGAAUGUGCCUUCGGGAACCGUGAGACAGGUGCUGCAUGGCUGUCGUCAGCUCGUGUUGUGAAAUGUUGGGUUAAGUCCCGCAACGAGCGCAACCCUUAUCCUUUGUUGCCAGCGGUCCGGCCGGGAACUCAAAGGAGACUGCCAGUGAUAAACUGGAGGAAGGUGGGGAUGACGUCAAGUCAUCAUGGCCCUUACGACCAGGGCUACACACGUGCUACAAUGGCGCAUACAAAGAGAAGCGACCUCGCGAGAGCAAGCGGACCUCAUAAAGUGCGUCGUAGUCCGGAUUGGAGUCUGCAACUCGACUCCAUGAAGUCGGAAUCGCUAGUAAUCGUGGAUCAGAAUGCCACGGUGAAUACGUUCCCGGGCCUUGUACACACCGCCCGUCACACCAUGGGAGUGGGUUGCAAAAGAAGUAGGUAGCUUAACCUUCGGGAGGGCGCUUACCACUUUGUGAUUCAUGACUGGGGUGAAGUCGUAACAAGGUAACCGUAGGGGAACCUGCGGUUGGAUCACCUCCUUACCUUAAAGAAGC